This 397-nucleotide ribosomal RNA is filed under the name uncultured bacterium. Its description in RNAcentral is "partial 16S ribosomal RNA". It matches the Rfam family "Bacterial small subunit ribosomal RNA", at positions 523 to 918 of the family's 1533-position model. The record is from RNAcentral.
AUACGUAGGGGGCGAGCGUUGUCCGGAAUGAUUGGGCGUAAAGGGCGCGUAGGCGGCGCGGUAAGUCUGGAGUGAAAGUCCUGCUUUCAAGGUGGGAAUUGCUUUGGAUACUGCCGCGCUUGAGUGCAGGAGAGGUUAUCGGAAUUCCCGGUGUAGCGGUGAAAUGCGUAGAGAUCGGGAGGUACACCAGUGGCGAAGGCGGGUAACUGGACUGCAACUGACGCUGAGGCGCGAAAGUGUGGGGAGCAAACAGGAUUAGAUACCCUGGUAGUCCACACUGUAAACGAUGAAUGCUAGGUGUAAGAGGUAUCGACCCCUUUUGUGCCGGAGUCAACACAAUAAGCAUUCCGCCUGGGGAGUACGGCCGCAAGGUUGAAACUUAAAGGAAUUGACGGGG